UCAAUGGGCGAAAGCCUGACGCAGCAACGCCGCGUGAGUGAUGAAGGCUUUCGGGUCGUAAAGCUCUGUCGAGGGGAAAGAAGUGUAUUGUGGCUAAUACCCGCGAUACUUGACGGUACCCCUAAAGGAAGCACCGGCUAACUCCGUGCCAGCAGCCGCGGUAAUACGGGGGGUGCAAGCGUUGUUCGGAAUUAUUGGGCGUAAAGCGCGUGUAGGCGGUCUGAUUAGUCUGAUGUGAAAGCCCUGGGCUCAACCCAGGAAGUGCAUUGGAUACUGUCAGACUUGAAUACGGGAGAGGGUAUUGGAAUUCCUAGUGUAGGAGUGAAAUCCGUAGAUAUUAGGAGGAACACCGGUGGCGAAGGCGGCUACCUGGACCGAUAUUGACGCUGAGACGCGAACGGGUUUUACAAAG
This 412-nucleotide ribosomal RNA is filed under the name uncultured delta proteobacterium. RNAcentral describes it as "bacterial SSU rRNA". It matches the Rfam family "Bacterial small subunit ribosomal RNA", at positions 368 to 773 of the family's 1533-position model. The record is from RNAcentral. Lineage: Bacteria; Deltaproteobacteria.